AUGGACGCGCCUCCUUCGCCGCCCGGACCAAUCGUCCUCAACCCCGCCGAGCUCCAUCGCGCCCCCGCGCCCUUAAGUGUCUUGCGCACCUCCGCCGUCCAUCUUCUCAGCCGUGCCGCCGUCGUUUUGCAGGAGCUCCGCCUCCCUAGCGAGAACAGCCACCACCGGAGUUGUUCUUCCUCCAUGCGCCGUCGUCGAGUUGCCAUGGUCUCGACCUCUUGUGCCUCCUCCCUCCAGCGCCGCCUUGCUGCUCCCUCCCGUGCACAAGCCCCUCCUCUGCCAUGGCCUUCCUCCUCCUGUGUCUGCAGCGAUGAUGUGCUGCUGCAGCUGCUCUUCCUGCGCGCCGCCUCCCUCGCUGAGCCCCGUGGCCUGGCCCUUCUACGGCAACUAGCGCCCCUCCAUGGAUGA
RNAcentral lists this ribosomal RNA (408 nucleotides) under Triticum aestivum (bread wheat). RNAcentral's name for it is "partial small subunit ribosomal RNA". Lineage: Eukaryota; Viridiplantae; Streptophyta; Magnoliopsida; Poales; Poaceae. The record is from RNAcentral.